CAGCGCGUAGCUCAAGUAAGCAGAGCACCCGGCUCGGGCCCGGGAUGGUGCGGGUGCGAACCCCGCCGUGCUGGCCA
This 77-nucleotide transfer RNA is filed under the name Nocardiopsis exhalans. RNAcentral describes it as "tRNA-Pro". It matches the Rfam family "tRNA". From Rfam's summary of the family: Transfer RNA (tRNA) molecules are approximately 80 nucleotides in length. Their secondary structure includes four short double-helical elements and three loops (D, anti-codon, and T loops). The record is from RNAcentral. Lineage: Bacteria; Bacillati; Actinomycetota; Actinomycetes; Streptosporangiales; Nocardiopsidaceae.